This 206-nucleotide ribosomal RNA is filed under the name uncultured bacterium. RNAcentral's name for it is "partial 16S ribosomal RNA". It matches the Rfam family "Bacterial small subunit ribosomal RNA", at positions 568 to 774 of the family's 1533-position model. The record is from RNAcentral.
CGCGUAGGCGGACAGUUUAGUCAGAGGUGAAAGCCCAGGGCUCAACCUUGGAAUUGCCUUUGAUACUGACUGUCUUGAGUUCGGGAGAGGUGAGUGGAAUGCCGAGUGUAGAGGUGAAAUUCGUAGAUAUUCGGCGGAACACCAGUGGCGAAGGCGACUCACUGGCCCGAUACUGACGCUGAGGCGCGAAAGCGUGGGAGCAAACA